This 877-nucleotide ribosomal RNA is filed under the name uncultured bacterium. RNAcentral describes it as "partial 16S ribosomal RNA". It matches the Rfam family "Bacterial small subunit ribosomal RNA", at positions 1 to 870 of the family's 1533-position model. The record is from RNAcentral.
AUUAGAGUUUGAUCAUGGCUCAAAUUGAACGCUGGCGGCAUGCUUUACACAUGCAAGUCGAACGGCAGCGCGGGCGGGGGUAACCUCGCCUGGCGGCGAGUGGCGAACGGGUGAGUAAUAUAUCGGAACGUACCCAAGAGUGGGGGAUAACGUAGCGAAAGUUACGCUAAUACCGCAUACGAUCUAUGGAUGAAAGCAGGGGACCUUCGGGCCUUGUGCUCCUGGAGCGGCCGAUAUCUGAUUAGCUAGUUGGUAGGGUAAAGGCCUACCAAGGCGACGAUCAGUAGCUGGUCUGAGAGGAUGAUCAGCCACACUGGGACUGAGACACGGCCCAGACUCCUACGGGAGGCAGCAGUGGGGAAUUUUGGACAAUGGGGGCAACCCUGAUCCAGCCAUGCCGCGUGCGGGAAGAAGGCCUUCGGGUUGUAAACCGCUUUUGGUCGGGAAGAAUGGGCGCCGGAUAACACCUGGCGCUGUUGACGGUACCGGCAGAAUAAGCACCGGCUAACUACGUGCCAGCAGCCGCGGUAAUACGUAGGGUGCGAGCGUUAAUCGGAAUUACUGGGCGUAAAGCGUGCGCAGGCGGUAAGUUAAGUCUGAUGUGAAAGCCCCGGGCUCAACCUGGGAAUGGCAUUGGAAACUGGCUUGCUGGAGUGUGGCAGAGGGGGGUGGAAUUCCGCGUGUAGCAGUGAAAUGCGUAGAGAUGCGGAGGAACACCGAUGGCGAAGGCAGCCCCCUGGGCCAACACUGACGCUCAGGCACGAAAGCGUGGGGAGCAAACAGGAUUAGAUACCCUGAUAGUCCACGCCCUAAACGAUGUCAACUGGGUGUUGGGGAAGCGAUUCCUUGGUACCGUAGCUAACGCGUGAAGUUGACC